RNAcentral lists this ribosomal RNA (1538 nucleotides) under Klebsiella pneumoniae. RNAcentral describes it as "bacterial SSU rRNA". It matches the Rfam family "Bacterial small subunit ribosomal RNA". Lineage: Bacteria; Pseudomonadati; Pseudomonadota; Gammaproteobacteria; Enterobacterales; Enterobacteriaceae. The record is from RNAcentral.
AAAUUGAAGAGUUUGAUCAUGGCUCAGAUUGAACGCUGGCGGCAGGCCUAACACAUGCAAGUCGAGCGGUAGCACAGAGAGCUUGCUCUCGGGUGACGAGCGGCGGACGGGUGAGUAAUGUCUGGGAAACUGCCUGAUGGAGGGGGAUAACUACUGGAAACGGUAGCUAAUACCGCAUAAUGUCGCAAGACCAAAGUGGGGGACCUUCGGGCCUCAUGCCAUCAGAUGUGCCCAGAUGGGAUUAGCUAGUAGGUGGGGUAACGGCUCACCUAGGCGACGAUCCCUAGCUGGUCUGAGAGGAUGACCAGCCACACUGGAACUGAGACACGGUCCAGACUCCUACGGGAGGCAGCAGUGGGGAAUAUUGCACAAUGGGCGCAAGCCUGAUGCAGCCAUGCCGCGUGUGUGAAGAAGGCCUUCGGGUUGUAAAGCACUUUCAGCGGGGAGGAAGGCGNAAGGUUANNNNNNNNNNGAUUGACGUUACCCGCAGAAGAAGCACCGGCUAACUCCGUGCCAGCAGCCGCGGUAAUACGGAGGGUGCAAGCGUUAAUCGGAAUUACUGGGCGUAAAGCGCACGCAGGCGGUCUGUCAAGUCGGAUGUGAAAUCCCCGGGCUCAACCUGGGAACUGCAUUCGAAACUGGCAGGCUAGAGUCUUGUAGAGGGGGGUAGAAUUCCAGGUGUAGCGGUGAAAUGCGUAGAGAUCUGGAGGAAUACCGGUGGCGAAGGCGGCCCCCUGGACAAAGACUGACGCUCAGGUGCGAAAGCGUGGGGAGCAAACAGGAUUAGAUACCCUGGUAGUCCACGCCGUAAACGAUGUCGAUUUGGAGGUUGUGCCCUUGAGGCGUGGCUUCCGGAGCUAACGCGUUAAAUCGACCGCCUGGGGAGUACGGCCGCAAGGUUAAAACUCAAAUGAAUUGACGGGGGCCCGCACAAGCGGUGGAGCAUGUGGUUUAAUUCGAUGCAACGCGAAGAACCUUACCUGGUCUUGACAUCCACAGAACUUUCCAGAGAUGGAUUGGUGCCUUCGGGAACUGUGAGACAGGUGCUGCAUGGCUGUCGUCAGCUCGUGUUGUGAAAUGUUGGGUUAAGUCCCGCAACGAGCGCAACCCUUAUCCUUUGUUGCCAGCGGUCNGGCCGGGAACUCAAAGGAGACUGCCAGUGAUAAACUGGAGGAAGGUGGGGAUGACGUCAAGUCAUCAUGGCCCUUACGACCAGGGCUACACACGUGCUACAAUGGCAUAUACAAAGAGAAGCGACCUCGCGAGAGCAAGCGGACCUCAUAAAGUAUGUCGUAGUCCGGAUUGGAGUCUGCAACUCGACUCCAUGAAGUCGGAAUCGCUAGUAAUCGUAGAUCAGAAUGCUACGGUGAAUACGUUCCCGGGCCUUGUACACACCGCCCGUCACACCAUGGGAGUGGGUUGCAAAAGAAGUAGGUAGCUUAACCUUCGGGAGGGCGCUUACCACUUUGUGAUUCAUGACUGGGGUGAAGUCGUAACAAGGUAACCGUAGGGGAACCUGCGGUUGGAUCACCUCCUUA